UAGUGGCGGACGGGUGAGUAACGCGUGGGUAACCUGCCUUAUACAGGGGGAUAACAACUGGAAACAGUUGCUAAUACCCCAUAAGCGCCCGGCACCGCAUGGUGCUGAGUGAAAAUAUUUAUAGGUAUAAGAUGGACCCGCGUCUGAUUAGCUAGUUGGUAGGGUAAGGGCCUACCAAGGCGAUGAUCAGUAGCCGGCUUGAGAGAGUGACCGGCCACAUUGGGACUGAGACACGGCCCAAACUCCUACGGGAGGCAGCAGUGGGGAAUCUUGCACAAUGGGGGAAACCCUGAUGCAGCGACGCCGCGUGAGUGAAGAAGUAUUUCGGUAUGUAAAGCUCUAUCAGCAGGGACGAUAAUGACGGUACCUGACUAAGAAGCCCCGGCUAACUACGUGCCAGCAGCCGCGGUAAUACGUAGGGGGCAAGCGUUAUCCGGAUUUACUGGGUGUAAAGGGAGUGUAGGUGGCGAAGUAAGUUGGAUGUGAAAUUCCGGGGCUUAACC
This 503-nucleotide ribosomal RNA is filed under the name uncultured bacterium. RNAcentral describes it as "bacterial SSU rRNA". It matches the Rfam family "Bacterial small subunit ribosomal RNA", at positions 93 to 614 of the family's 1533-position model. The record is from RNAcentral.